GCGAUCAUGGUGGAAUUGGUAGACACGCAACGUUGAGGUCGUUGUGCCUUUUUGGCUUGGAAGUUCGAGUCUUCUUGAUCGCACCA
This 86-nucleotide transfer RNA is filed under the name Alphaproteobacteria bacterium. RNAcentral's name for it is "tRNA-Leu". It matches the Rfam family "tRNA". From Rfam's summary of the family: Transfer RNA (tRNA) molecules are approximately 80 nucleotides in length. Their secondary structure includes four short double-helical elements and three loops (D, anti-codon, and T loops). Lineage: Bacteria; Pseudomonadati; Pseudomonadota; Alphaproteobacteria. The record is from RNAcentral.